UAAAAAAUGUCGACUUUCUUUAGCCUGAGACAAACCAAGAUCUGAGACUUUGAGUGACAGUUAACAGAACACACUUCAAGAACAGAGUUCUAAAAUAACAGAGGAAAGAGAUUGCAGAGAUGAUGAAAUGCAGAAACUAACUGAAAGAAAAGGAGCACAUACAAGUUUAACGAGUUCACGCCGUUAAAGGACGCUACAUCUCGCCGAGGCUCACCUCGGAAUCCACUAGAACCAAUAGAGAACAGCUGUUACAACAAGAAGAAUCAAGAGAUCCGCCUAAUGCCCUUCACUAGCACUUAGACACUCUUCGAUUCUUACUUGUAUCAAGAAAACUAUUACAAAGCUUAUGCUAAAUAGAAUUUUCUCUUAGCUACAAUCUCUCUACAACCUCUCAAGUUCUCUUCUGUUCUCUCUCUAUCCCAAAGCAUCUUCCUUUUAUAGUGCUUAGGCACCAAGGGCUUCCUCAUGACCCAGCCGCUUGCUCCAGUCGAUCCAAAACGCUAAACGCCAGUUGUUGUUUCUUGCUUUAGCUGUUGCAGACUGCAGAGCGUGACUUACUGCUUUUGUAUACACGCGACAAUAAGCCCUUAGAGGAUAGACAAUGCUCUUGUUCUUCCAUUUUAAGCAAUCGCCAUUUCCCCAUGUAUGUGGUCCCAAAAGUAAGUUCACCUUUAGUUCAAAAAAUAGUCACUGCAGUUAACUUCCAUUUGUUACCGUUGGGUCAUUCAAAGAAGAGACUUGCUCAUCAAGACAUUGUCUCCACAAAUCUCCACCUGAUGAUCAAGUCAUUUUCUUGUUCCUUUUGAGAGAGAGACGUUCCUUGAAUUCUAGUUUCCUGGAUCCCGGCCUCGGAUUUCCUGAGUUUUAUCACUCAGACCUGACCUGCAACAAGUUCAAAGCGGAUUGAAACUUGUUCACAGGUAGAAUCUUGGUGAAGAUAUCAGCUGGAUUCCUUUCAGUCGAAAUCUUCACAACCUCAACAUCACCAUUAGCAAUCACUUCUCUGAUAUAGUGAUGCUUGACAUCAAUGUGUUUGGUUCGCUCAUGAUGCACGUUAUUCUUCGAGAGAGCAAUAGCACUCUGGGAAUCACAGUGAAUCUCUACACUCCUCUGUUCGAAACCAAAAUCCUUUAACAGCCCUUUAAGCCACAAAGCUUCCUUCACGGCUUCGGUCAAUGACAUGUAUUCAGAUUCCGUUGUGGACAGAGCGACUACUCUCUGCAACCCUGACUUCCAGCUUAUGGUAUUACCUCCCAAUGUGAAUACCAAACCUGUAAUGGAUCUCCUUUUGUCAGGAUCAGCUGCAAAGUCAGCAUCACAGUAACCCACAAUCUUGAAUUCAGGACUCUUUUUGUAGAACAAUCUUGUCUUCAGUGUGCCUUUGAUGAAUCGCAGAACCCACUUUACCCCAAGCCAAUGCUCUCUGAUCGGCUUGCUCAUGUAUCUACUUAUAAUGCCUACAGGAUAAGCUUGAUCUGGUCUUGUUCCGAUCAUUGCGUACAUGAUACUACCCACAGCAUUUGAAUAUGGAACAGACUUCAUGUACUCUUCAUCUCUUGCUAGCUUAUCUUCGGUUGCUGCACUUAACUUCAAAUGAGCCCCUAAUGGGGUAGCCACUUGUUUAGCUUCUCCCAUUCCAUACGUUUCCAGAAUCUUGUUCAAAUACCCUUCUUGUGACAGCCACAAAACACCUUGUUCUCUGUCUCGAGUAAUCUCCAUACCCAAGAUCCUUUUUGCAGCUCCCAGAUCUUUCAUUUCAAAUUUGUUUCCGAGUUCCAUCUUCAACUGAUCUAUAGCUUCCUUGUUUCGGGCUGCAACAAGCAUGUCAUCCACAUAGAUGAGUAGAUACAUCAUUGAACCAUCCACCAGAGACUUCACAUAGGCACAAUUGUCAUGUUCACUUCUCACAAAACCGAUCUCAUUCAUAUAGUUGUCAAAUUUUUCAUUCCACUGUCGAGGUGCUUGCUUGAGACCGUACAAGGAUUUGUUGAGAAGGCACACCUCAUCCUCUUUAAACAUUGACUCGUAUCCUUCAGGAGGAGCCAUGUAAAUCUUUUCUUUGAGUUCUCCAUGGAGGAAGGCGGUCUUGACAUCUAACUGCUCAAGUUCAAGGUCUUCUUGUGCCACCACUGAAAGUAGAAUCCUUAUGGAGACAUGCUUUACAACCGGUGCAAAGAUUUCAUGAUAGUCUACCCCUUCCUUUUGAGCAUAUCCCUUAGCCACGAGUCUAGCUUUGAAGCGAGGUUCCUCUACACCAGGGAUCCCUUGUUUAUACUUGUAGAUCCACCUGCAACCAAUCACCUUCUGUUUCUCGGGCCUUAAGACCUUCGUCCAGGUGAAAUUUUUCUUCUGAGAAUUCAUUUGCUCAUCCAUAGCUAGACUCCAUUCCUUCCAGUGAAUGUCUCUUUUUGCUUCUUGAAAACUAUCCGGUUCAAUUGCAUCACCAUCUUCAGUUGUGUAUAAGGCUUCGGCAUAAUAGUCUUCAUCAUCAAAUCUCCUCGGUGGUCUAAUCUCUCUUCUGUCUCUGUCACGAACCAGACGAUAACUAAGAGGUACAUGAUGGCUUCUUGAUGCAGAGUCAUCACUUGUUCCUUCAUUUCUGUUCGGUGAGAGUGGAUUUGAUCUUGAUGAGGACGUAACACCGGAGUGUUGCAGUGAGGCUCCACCUGAGCUAGAAUCUCCUUCUGGCUCCAAGUCAAGAUCAAGCAACGAUCUGCAGGGAUCAUCCUCUUCAACUACAGGAUGGUCAUUCUGACUCUGAAGAUCCUUGUAGACUGCAUUUUCUUGAAAUAUCACGUUUCUGCUCACUGCACACUUCCUUUCUUCAAGUAACCAGACUUUAUAUCCUUUUACUCCAGUGGGAUACCCCAGAAGCACUCCUUUCUUUGCUCUCGGACUAAGCUUGCCAUCGUCUGUAUGUACAAACACAACACAACCAAAUCUCCUUAGGUAGCUGUAUACAGGCGUCUUACCAAACCAUCUCUUGUCGGGAAUGUCAUAAUUGAGAGCAGAAGAGGGGGUCUUGUUUAUGAGAACAACCGCCGUGUGAGUGGCCUCCGCCCAGAAGCGUUUAGGCAAACCUGAGUCACUCAACAUGGUUCUCACCUUCUCCAUAAUUGUACGGUUCAUGCGUUCUGCAACGCCAUUCUGUUGGGGUGUGUAUGCACAUGUUCUAUGCCUCUGAAUCCCCUUUUCUUCACAGUAAUUAUCAAAGGCUUUGUUGCAGAACUCAAGACCAUUAUCUGUCCUGAGUGUCUUAAUCCGUUUGUCACUUUGAUUCUCCACCAAGUGUGACCAUUCAACAAAACUCUCAAAGGCUUCAUCCUUUGAUCUCAGAAAAUAAACCCAUACUUUUCUUGUAUAGUCAUCGAUAAAAGAUAUAAAGUACUGACAUUUACCAAGAGACAGAGGUACGGAUGGAGCUCCCCAUAAGUCAGAGUGCACAUAUUCGAGUCUCUCUCUUGUGUCGUGUUGAGCCAGGUUGAACCCAACUCUUCUUGCCCUUCCAUAGAUACAGUCUUCACAUGUAUCAAAUGUUGACACUUUUUUACUGUCGAGAAGACACUUUCUAGUCAUGAUACUCAUGUAUUUCUGACUCAUAUGACCCAGUCUCCUAUGCCACAGCACCGUGUCAUCUUCCCUUCUUGUUACUGCAAGUGACUCGUCAACUGCAGGUCUCCAAUGAAGUAGAUACAGGGUGUCAAAUCUUCUUCCUGUCAGCAGAUUUUGAUCACCAGCUUUAAUGCUGAUAUAUCCAUUUUCUGAUUCAAACUUGUAACCGGCUUUCUCAAAGGUUCCCAAAGACAGUAGGUUCUUAUCCAUCUCGGGAAUGUACCUCACAUUUGCAAGUGAAACCGUCAGACCAUCUUCGUUCUUGACUUUAACCGUACCAACACCUCUGACCCUGGCUAAUGUCUUGUUUCCCAUUCUGACAGAACCUCCUGCUUCUUCAUUUAAUUCAUGAAACCAGUCCUUUCUAUACGUCAUGUGAUAACUGCAACCGGUAUCCAUGAUCCACUCAUCUUCAAGAUGUAUGUCUGUAGAUGACAAAGCCUCAGACACAUAAAGCCCUGUCGCUUCAGCUAAGUUACCUUUCCCACUUGAGGAUUCCCCCUUGUUGUACUGAUCUUUUGCUUUACUCUGAGGUUUCCCUUUAUUUGGACAUGAACUUUUAUAAUGUCCUUCUUCACCGCAAGCCCAACAUCCGCGUUUACUCUUAGACUUGGACCUUGCUCUUGACUUUCCUUUCUCUCUUUGUUCACUUCUUCCUCUGGUCUCAGUCUUCUCCUUGGCAUAGAGACCUUCUGCUUGACCCUUUAUACCCUUCUUCAUAGAUCCGAACUCAAGUUCCUUUGAGUGUAUAGCUGCAACGACUUCAUCAAGUGUUAACUCACGUUUUCCUGAGCUGUACUUGAGGGUAUCUCUGAGCUGGUCAAACUGUUUAGGUAGUGACAUCAACAAGAGAAUGGCUUGAUCUUCAUCCGAAACCUGCACCUCCGUAUUCUCCAGAUCUUCUAUAAGAUGGAGAAACUCAUCGAUGUUUCCUUCUAUGGAGAUGCUUUCAGAAAUUCUAAAGCUGUAUAGCUUCUGUUUCAGAUAGAUCCGGUUGGGAAGGGCUUUAGACAUGUACAGUUGGUCUAAAGCCGCCAUCAUUGAAGCUGCAGUCUUCAUCUUUUUGACCUUCCUUAAGACUCUAUCUGUCAGGCUCAAGACUAUCGUACUCCGAGCCUUCUUGCAUUUUUCUUCAAGUUUUUCUGGUUCAUCCUUGCUCUCUACGCGUGCUUCCUUCGAGGUAUCAGUUUCCUUGAGAGCUACACUGAGUCCUAGUAUAUCUAGGUGUGCCUCGAGCUUCUCUUUCCACAUAGUGUAGUCUCCAUGACCGUCAAACUUUUCCAUCUCAACUCUUGACGAUGACAUGGUUCACGGCUUUGAGAUUCAGACUUCGGAACCACAGAUACCGCAACCUGGCUCUGAUACCACUUUGUUAGGACUCUAUGUGCUAAAAAAUGUCGACUUUCUUUAGCCUGAGACGCAACAAACCAAGAUCUGAGACUUUGAGUGACAGUUAACAGAACACACUUCAAGAACAGAGUUCUAAAAUAACAGAGGAAAGAGAUUGCAGAGAUGAUGAAAUGCAGAAACUAACUGAAAGAAAAGGAGCACACACAAGUUUAACGAGUUCACGCCGUUAAAGGACGCUACAUCUCGCCGAGGCUCACCUCGGAAUCCACUAGAACCAAUAGAGAGCAGCUGUUACAACAAGAAGAAUCAAGAGAUCCGCCUAAUGCCCUUCACUAGCACUUAGACACUCUUCGAUUCUUACUUGUAUCAAGAAAACUAUUACAAAGCUUAUGCUAAAUAGAAUUUUCUCUUAGCUACAAUCUCUCUACAACCUCUCAAGUUCUCUUCAGUUCUCUCUCUAUCCCAAAGCAUCUUCCUUUUAUAGUGCUUAGGCACCAAGGGCUUCCUCAUGACCCAGCCGCUUGCUCCAGUCGAUCCAAAACGUUAAACGCCAGUUGUUGUUUCGCUUUAGCUGUUGCAGACUGCAGAGCGUGACUUACUGCUUUUGUAUACACGCGACAAUAAGCCCUUAGAGGAUAGACAAUACUCUUGUUCUUCCAUUUUAAGCAAUUGCCAUUUCCCCAUGUAUGUGGUCCCAAAAAUAAGUUCACCUUUAGUUCAAAAAAUAAUCACUGCAGUUAACUUCCAUUUGUUACCGUUGGGUCAUUCAAAGAAGAGACUUGCUCAUCAAGACAUUGUCUCCACAGGCUCUCUACUGAAGAAUGUUACGAGUUUUGGUUCGUUAGAAGUAAUAUAGUUUGCAAAAUGUUUCGUUGAUGAUGAGAAGAGAUACACUUGUGGCCUUGCUUUUCUUGUACAGCGCCAUUUUGACGAGUUAUAUUAGUCUUUUAAGAAUCAUUAUGUAUUUCGACCCAGACAAAUCAAAAAAAAAAAAGGGAAUCAUUGAGUACUACUCGCGUGAGAUUUGAUACAUCUGGAAGAUUUGGG
This 6009-nucleotide long non-coding RNA is filed under the name Eutrema salsugineum. RNAcentral describes it as "long non-coding RNA (ESAL_LNC001018)". Lineage: Eukaryota; Viridiplantae; Streptophyta; Magnoliopsida; Brassicales; Brassicaceae. The record is from RNAcentral.